UACGGAGGGGGCCAGCGUUGCUCGGAAUUAUUGGGCGUAAAGGGCGCGUAGGCGGCUUGGUAAGUUUGAUGUGAAAUCCCAUGGCUCAACCAUGGAACUGCAUCUCAUACUGCCGAGCUAGAGUCUGGGAGAGGGAAGCGGAAUUCCCGGUGUAGCGGUGAAAUGCGUAGAUAUCAGGAGGAACACCAGUGGCGAAGGCGGCUUCCUGGACCAGCACUGACGCUGAUGCGCGAAAGCUAGGGGAGCAAACAGG
This 253-nucleotide ribosomal RNA is filed under the name uncultured bacterium. Its description in RNAcentral is "partial 16S ribosomal RNA". It matches the Rfam family "Bacterial small subunit ribosomal RNA", at positions 524 to 776 of the family's 1533-position model. The record is from RNAcentral.